UACGUAGGUGACCAGCGUUGUCCGGAUUUACUGGGCGUAAAGAGCGCGCAGGCGGUCGUUCAAGUCGAGUGUGAAAGCCCCCGGCUCAACUGGGGAGGGUCAUUCGAUACUGAUCGACUGGAAGGCAGGAGAGGGAAGCGGAAUUCCCGGUGUAGUGGUGAAAUGCGUAGAUAUCGGGAGGAACACCAGUGGCGAAGGCGGCUUCCUGGCCUGUUCUUGACGCUGAGGCGCGAAAGCGUGGGGAGCAAACGGG
Molecule: ribosomal RNA, 253 nt
Filed under: uncultured bacterium
Lineage: Bacteria
Description: partial 16S ribosomal RNA
Rfam family: Bacterial small subunit ribosomal RNA
Source: RNAcentral